This 577-nucleotide unclassified non-coding RNA is filed under the name Hevea brasiliensis (rubber tree). The record is from RNAcentral. Lineage: Eukaryota; Viridiplantae; Streptophyta; Magnoliopsida; Malpighiales; Euphorbiaceae.
UUGCUGUAAAAAGACUAUCCAAAAAUUCAAGACAAGGAGUAGAAGAAUUUAAGAAUGAAGUUAUGUUGAUUGCCAAGCUUCAACACAGGAAUCUUGUUAAACUUCUUGGAUGCUGCAUUGAGAGAGAAGAACAGAUGUUAGUUUAUGAAUACUUGCCAAACAAAAGCUUGGACUCGUUUCUUUUUGAUGAAGCAAGAAGCUCAUUUUUGGAUUGGGGAAAACGCUUCAAUAUUAUCAUUGGCAUUGCUCGCGGGAUCUUAUAUCUUCAUCAAGACUCAAGUUUAAGAAUUAUUCAUAGGGAUUUAAAAUGCAGCAACAUUCUACUAGAUAGUGAAAUGAAUCCAAAAAUUUCUGACUUUGGUAUGGCCAGAUUAUUCAUAAAUGACCAAAUUCAGAACAAGACAAAUCGAGUUGUUGGAACAUACGGCUAUAUGUCACCAGAAUAUGCAGUAUUUGGAAAAUUUUCAAUAAAAUCUGAUGUGUUUAGCUUUGGGGUGAUAUUGUUGGAGAUUAUAAGUGGCAAGAAGAGCACUGGUUUUAACAUGGAGGAUGCUUCCCUAAGCUUGAUAGGACAUGU